GUCUCGCAGGGCGCCAAGCAGCUUCCAGCCUCCGCGGCGGCGGCGGCGGAGAGGCGGCGAGCGGAGAAGGCCGAGGAGGGGGUGAGGACGGUGAUGUACCUCAGCUGCUGGGGUCCCAAUUAGCAGCUGCAACUUGCUGCUAGCUGAGGAGGGGCUGAGGACGGUGACGUACCUCAACUGCUAGGCGUGUCUCUGUUUGCUGCAACAACCAUGGCCUGAAACCUGUGUGGCUUCCCGUUGAAUCGCCCAUUGUAAAAUACCACCAUGAUGAUUUUUUUUUUUUUUAGAAAAGGAGGAUGACCCCCGGCCUCUGCAUCUGGGAGAUGCAUAAGGUCACUUUAUUAAUUAUUCUCGAGGACCUUAUAAAGUAUUACAAACAAUAUACCUGAAACUACCAUCUUGGCAACAUAUGCCGCUCCUCUUAUCCAUAUGAUGUAGGGAUGCUAGCUGGGCCACUACCCAAACCACUCACCUAAACCUAACAUCAAAAGCCGGAAGCCCCAGCCGAGCCACAUACCGGGUCUGGGGCACAAUCCGGUCAGACGCACUCUUAUGUCGUCGCCGCCAUCUUCCACAAGUCCGUCUUCAGAUUAUAUUGAAUCUUCUAUCUUGUGAAGGCCACUACUGCCAUCGACGUCACCAUGAUGCCAGACAACUACCUCCUCCUGCGCGAGUCCAUCUCCGCACAUCGGACGCCGAGCCUCCACGGCGCCAUGCCGCCGAUCUCCGCCGCCAUCAAUGAGUGAGAUGAAGUACCGCUCCACCACGGCAAGUACAAGGUGAGAAAGGGCGAGGUCGCAAUCGGAGACACGGCCAGACAUGGGCCGCCACCAGGAACCAGACAGACUCGCCAUGCACACCCAACAUCCCCAUGCCCAAGUCGGCGCCUUCAAGAAGGUAACGACGCUGUGGCGCCGCCGCCGCUUAGCCACCGGGGCUAGGGUUUUCACCCGGGCGCAGGGGGAGGGGGGAGGCAGGGGAGGUUUAGCCUCGGCGCCGCCACCAAGGAGGGAAUGGCGUCCGGGAUGCCAUCGACGCCGUGGCCGCCGGUGGCGGCCAAGGGUUUCCCCCGGCCAAGCACCCUGCCGCCACCUCCGAACCAGUCACAAAAUCAGCAGGCGCGUGCACGCCGGAGAUCCAGACCGGCCGGAGGUCAUGCAUGACGAGCGGACCAGCUCGCCUCCGAUCCGACGAGGGGAGACCGGGACCUCCCCGCGCCAUGACCAGCGCCCACCGGGACCUCGCUGCCCACGCAGCCGAGGGGAUCAGGCCUACCUCACCGACGAGCACUCCCUGCCGCCAGAGGAGCGCCGUCCGUACCAGCGAGGCCGCCGCCUCAGAUCCGACACACCGGUCGCCGCGCUCCGCCGCCGCGCCCGAGGAAGCCGGACCCCACGGCGCCGUCCACAGUCCUCGCCGCCCGCAGCCCGCGUCACGACACGGCUAGAUCUGGCGGAGUUGCGUUGCCGCACAUGAUGAUGAUGACAACAUAUUUCUGUUACUUCAGUUCAUAUUACUCUCCUUAUCUAUUUGCCUUUUGUUAUCUUGAUGAGAAAUAUGAAUUGAUGCUUUAAUUUAGUUUCAUCUUACAGCUAUUCCAUUAUCUUUGAACCCGGCCUUUUGGUCGUAUGGCAAAAAAGGAACUUGCAAGUUACAUAUGACGAGUUCAUAGCAAACAUGAUGCAUUUCUUGAGUCUGCAUCACACAUGAAGGUGUCAUCUGCAGGUGUUAAAAGUGACAGAAACACAUGACAAAUUCUCGUAUAUAUGUUAUGAAGGUGUCAUCAAGCAAUCCAUCUAGUUUCAGUUUUGCUAGUUGACCUGGGUCCAGUUGCUUGGCUCCUGUGGGAGCGCGUGAUGGGGGCCCGCUAGCAUGCAAGCCAUGCACGUCGGCGCCCGCGGGGGUGGGCAGCGCCUCGCCUGCAUGCUGCGGCUUUUGGGUGCUCCCCCCCUGCGUCUCAGCCCGCAGCGGCGCAUCCCUGCGCCUCCUGCGGAUGAUGACCCACCUGCCCCGGACGGUCCGGCCUCCGCUGUGCAGGCCCCGGCGUCCCGUGGCCGCUCCAGCGUCGCCUUGGUGGAGUUGGACGAGCCCGGUGACGGAGUGGCGGUGCUGCCGCCCGAACGACGCCGGAGCGCUAGGAUUGCUCGUAACGAGCCGUCCACCUGGCUCGGCGUGGAAGAAAAAGCUAUGAAGCUUAGGGCUCUUCGGGACGCUCUGACCGGCUGCUCGCCGCGCCUCAAGUCCAAGGUGGCGAGGGCCAAGAUGCUCGACGGGGUGCUCGACCCAUUGACCGCGGCGGCUACGGCGGCCGUGCGCUCGGCGGCUGCGAUCCCGUCUGCUCCGGCGCAGGCUAGCUCCGAUGGUUAGGACGCCUGCGUGCGUCACCCAGUNNNNNNNNNNNNNNNNNNNNNNNNNNNNNNNNNNNNNNNNNNNNNNNNNNNNNNNNNNNNNNNNNNNNNNNNNNNNNNNNNNNNNNNNNNNNNNNNNNNNNNNNNNNNNNNNNNNNNNNNNNNNNNNNNNNNNNNNNNNNNNNNNNNNNNNNNNNNNNNNNNNNNNNNNNNNNNNNNNNNNNNNNNNNNNNNNNNNNNNNNNNNNNNNNNNNNNNNNNNNNNNNNNNNNNNNNNNNNNNNNNNNNNNNNNNNNNNNNNNNNNNNNNNNNNNNNNNNNNNNNNNNNNNNNNNNNNNNNNNNNNNNNNNNNNNNNNNNNNNNNNNNNNNNNNNNNNNNNNNNNNNNNNNNNNNNNNNNNGGUAUCUACAGCGUUUGUGCUGUCCGCCGCGGUAGGGUUAGUUUGUACCCCGUCGAGGGCGUGCUGUCGUCUAUGUUUCCUUCCCUAUCUGUCCUCGGUGCCGCGGUCUGUGAUGGAUAGUGCCUCCUAUUCUAAACUUUCGUUCCUGUGUUGGAACGUGCAAGGGCUGGGGGGUGUUGACAAGUGCGGCGUCGUGCGGAACGCUAUCCACACUGUCAACCCCGUCCUCGCUUGUAUCCAGGAAAGCAAACUAUCUGAGUUGUCCACCAGUAAGGCUCGCUCGUUCUUGCCCUCCCGCCUGGGCUCUUUUGUGUCCAAAAAUGCGGAGGGUAGUAGAGGCGGGAUGGUCACCGCUUGGGACCCAGCGUCCUCAGUCUGUCCGCGUCUUCGGCCUCCCGUUACACGCUUACUGCCUCCCUUUCUUCCACGCGGUGCGCCCUCUCCUUCCGGAUCACUAACGUCUACGCUCCCUCCGAUCAUGCGUUCACGGCGGACUUUGUCGAGGACCUCAUGUCGGUCGCAGCGGGCAUCACUGGCCCCUGGCUGGUGCUUGGGGACUUCAACCUCAUCCGCUUCCCUCACGAGAAGAAUAACGAUCGCUUUGAUGCUUCUCGUGCGGCUGUGUUCAACUCCCUCGUUAACUCUCUUGCUCUGCACGAGCUCGCCCUGUCGGACAGGCUUUUUACUUGGACGAACAGGCGGGAUCCCCCCACCCUCGCUCGUCUGGAUCGCGUCUUCUUUGACCACGCUUGGGACGUCGCCUUCCCGGACUCGGGUCUGUCGUCUCGCCCCCGUUCUACCUCGGAUCAUGUGCCCCCUAGUGGUGGAGGCCGCGACGCGGAUUCCUUCCCCUUCUCGGUUUUUCUUCGAGAAUGCUUGGCUCCGCGAUCCUCAGUUUCUCCCCUCUACCCUCUCGUCCUGGUCGAACACGGGGGCCAGUCGGUGCGCUGUGGGUUGCCUGGCAACUCGCAAGAAAAGGUUCAGGGCCGCGGCCAAGGUUUGGAAAAGGCUACACAAAUACAUUCCUGCUUUUGAUAAUAACUGCAAAUUUGUGAUUGACCUGCUUGACUUUUGGGAGGAGUGCCGCACCUUGUCCUCUGAUGAACACCAGCUCAGGCAGGACGCGCGCGUGGCCUUGGCGGCUUCGAUCCGGCGGCAGAGCGCGUACUGGAAGCAGCGCGGGAAGUGCCGGGCUGUCUGCGAGGGGGACGAGAACACCGGCUUCUUCCACGCGAGCGCCUCCCACCGCCGCCGCGCCAACUCGAUCCGUGUGCUCGACGUCGACGGUGCGAUGGUGUUGGACCACGCUGGCAAGGCGGCGGCCCUGCUCACGUUCUACUCCAACCUGUUGGGCAGGGCUCGGCCCGCCGUGUGGCGCUUCGACUUGGAGGCUCUCUACCGCCACGCGCCGAGGGUGGACGCGGCGGCUCUGGUCGCGCCUUUCUUGCCCAGCGAGAUUAAAGAUGCUGCGAACCUCCUCGACCGGACUAGCGCGCCCGGACCAGACGGCCUUGGCCCCGCGUUCUACCAGGCCGCCUGGAGUACGGUCGCGGGCGACCUACAGCGACUCUUCGACGCGGUUCUUGACGGCACCGCGGACCUCGACGCCAUCAACCGUGCGUACAUUGCCCUGCUGCCCAAGGGGGUGGGCGUGCCGACGCCGGGCGCUUUCCGCCCUGUCUCCCUUCAGAAUGGGGACGUGAAAAUCCUCUGUCGUGGCCUUACCUCGAGGUUGCAGAAACAGAUUGGGGGCAUCAUCGACGUCGACCAGUCUGGGUUCUUGGCGGGCAGGAGCAUCUCCGAGAACUUUGUGUAUGCCGCCGAGGUGAUCCAAUGCUGCCACAAACGGGGGGCGCCUGCCCUCGUGUUCAAGCUGGACUUCGCUAAGGCGUUCGACUCGGUCAACUGGGGGGCACUGCGCCGAAUCCUCAUGGCGCGCGGCUUUCCCUGUCGGUGGUGCGACUGGAUGGACCUGAUCUUCGAGUCCUCGCGGUCGGCUGUGCUGCUGAACGGCGUGCCCGGGCGGUGGUUCACGGUGCGCCGGGGGCUGCGGCAAGGUGACCCAUGUUCGCCCUACCUCUUCCUCAUCGUCGCCGAUGUGCUGCAACAAAUGAUCUGUCAAGACGGGGCCCUGUUCCACCCUCUCGUCGAUGGCAAGCCCCCCUGGUGCUGCAAUAUGCCGAUGAUACGCUUGUCAUCCUCUGAGCGGACUCCGGCGCCGCGGCCCGCCUCCGCCGUAUCCUCGACGACUUUGCGGCGGCGACAGGGCUGGACAUCAACUUCGACAAAAGUACUCUGGUCCCCAUGCACGUGCCCGAGGAGGUGUUGGCGGAGACUGUUGGCGCCCUUGGCUGCGCCGUACAAGGGUUCCCGCAAGCCUACCUGGGGCUCCCUUUGUCGUGGGAAAAGCUCUGCUUCGCCGACUUCCUACCCAUGAUCGCGAAGGUUGACAGGUACCUGGCUGGAUGGAGAGCCCGUCUUCUCUCCCCGGCUGGGCGUUUGGUCCUGAUCAACGCUGUCCUCGACGCCCUUCCCACAUAUGCUAUGGCAGCGAUGUUGCUCCCACCAGCGGUGAUCAAGGAGCUCGACUCGCUCCGUCGGGCCUUCCUCUGGAAUGCAGCCGAGCGCGCCUCCGGAGCCCAAUGCCUGGUGGCUUGGGAGCGUGUUUGCAGGACCAAGGCGGAAGGCGGGCUGGGCGUCCGCGACCUCGCUACACAGAAUCGCUGCCUACUGCUCAAGAUGCUGCACCGGCUUCACGCGUCUUCCUCGCCUUCGAGAUGGGCCCUGUGGGUGUGGGCGGAGCUCGACGGCCGCUCCCUCCUCUCGCCAACAGCCAGCAGGCGCGCAGGGGAGCAUGGCCAGGCGCUGGCGCAGCUGCUCCCGCUGUACCGCGGGAUCACCAGGGUGACGGUGCGCGAUGGGAGACGGACGUCCUUCUGGCUCGACUCCUGGCUCCCGUGUGGACCGCUCGCGGUGGCUCUCCCGGUGCUGCACUCGCACACGACGAUGAAGGAGGCCACGGUGUGGCGGGUGCGUACGCGCGCCCUGGACAGUGUGCUGGUGCCCAGGCUUACCUCUGCCGGCACCGUGGAGCGGGCUACCCUUCUGGCACUGAUCGGCGAUCAGGUUACGGGGCUGGGUGACGACGAGCGCAGACCAACGCUGUGCUCAGACGCGCGUGGGAGCCUGGUCACGGUGGCCGUCUACGCCCUGGAGAGAUUCGGGGGCCUGCAGGUGUCGUUCGCGGCGUUCCUUUGGGGGUGCGCGGCUCCCUCCCGUGUUCGUUUUUUCGGGUGGCUCCUGGUCCAACGACGGGUCAACACAAGGGACGUCCUGUUGCGAAAGACCAUCAUCACAGCGGAGGGGGCUUCCUGUCCGAUCUGUUCGAGCGAGCUGGAGACGGCGGAUCACAUGGUGUUCGAGUGCCCUUUCACCCGAGCCUUCUGGGGGGCGGUAGGGGUCGAUGUGGUCGACAAAGGUUAUCAGGUGGCCGCGCUCCAGGAUCUUGACGUCCGGGGAGUGGUCGGGGAUACUGCGUGCGCUACCUUCGCUCUUCUGUGCUGCUGGCAGCUAUGGAAGCAUAGGAAUGCCGUGGUCUUCCGUGGGGCGGUGCCCUCCCUCGCCCGCCUUCUAGCUUGCUGCAGGGAGGAUUCGGCCCUGUGGCAAGGACGACUGAAAGUAGUUGAACGCGCGUGCGUCGACAGAUGGCUACAGGUGUUCUCGCACCCUGAGAGGUAGCCUGCGCCGUGCUUNNNNNNNNNNNNNNNNNNNNNNNNNNNNNNNNNNNNNNNNNNNNNNNNNNNNNNNNNNNNNNNNNNNNNNNNNNNNNNNNNNNNNNNNNNNNNNNNNNNNNNNNNNNNNNNNNNNNNNNNNNNNNNNNNNNNNNNNNNNNNNNNNNNNNNNNNNNNNNNNNNNNNNNNNNNNNNNNNNNNNNNNNNNNNNNNNNNNNNNNNNNNNNNNNNNNNNNNNNNNNNNNNNNNNNNNNNNNNNNNNNNNNNNNNNNNNNNNNNNNNNNNNNNNNNNNNCCAAUAAAACAAGAAAAUUCAGGUGGAGGGCUUUGCCCCUCCCCGGUGACCUUCAAAAAAAAAACAAUCUCCCGGUUUCCUGGUCAGAGUUAUAGAAAGAGCUAGAAUGAUGAUAGUGUAAAAAAACGGUCGACGGAGGGAGUAGGUCACACGUUUUCCUUUCUAGUUUCCCAGGGCCAUGCAAGUAAAAGAAAUGGCCACUUUUUUGCGAAUAAAAUAAACGAAAUGGCUUUUUAACAAGAGGAAUCUCCGUACGCCUGAGUAAACCAGUUUCUUUAAAAUAAUCCAGCAGAUCCUGCCACGAAGCUCAACACGGCCACUGGUAUGGUGGAAACCAUGUUCUCAAGCAUGCGUCACUCCUAUCUUAUCUCUGCCUUGUCUGAUCGUAACGGACAGAACCACCGCCCACGUACGGGGACGAAAGCGAGAGGUGCGGCGCAGGCAAGCAAGUGAACUCUCAUGAAAAGCACCCGGUAUCCUGGAAAACCAGCGGCCGCAGCCAGCUGUUUUGCUCCGACGUUCCGGUAUAAAAACCCGGCCCAUCCCCACUCUUCCUCGCAUCAACUCAAACAAGCAUCAGUUACCGCCAUUACCAAAGUUUAUGAAUAAUCGGGGCGCCGAGUGACCCGACCCCGAGCUCUCCUGCUAGCGCGCACCGGCGGCGGCCACUCCGGCCCCGUCGGCCACCCCACCGCUGGCUCGCAGCCCAGCCGCCAUGUUGCCGCCGCCUCCACCCUCGUUGCCUGUGGGCUUCAAGCCGGUUGACGUCCCGCCGCCAUCCCUAUCGUCUUCCCGGUCAGAUCCGGAUCGGGACCUCCUGCUUCCGCCGCCGCAGACGACGACGCUGGACCUGCCCACCCAGCUUCGUGCCGUGCCCAUGGCGGUGCUGGUGAUGCCUCCGUGCGAGCUCGUAGCGCCCACAUCACCGAAGCUCCCCAUGCCCGCGGCUACCGGCAACUGCCCAGCUCCGGCGCCGGCCACCGCGACACCGACGCCACCCAUGCCCGCGGCAGCUGGUGGCUGCCCCGCUCCGUCGACGACGGCUGCUGCUGUCGACAUCCUGGUCCCCGUGGCGGCUCCGUCCCUCCUCCAGCCGGCCGCGCCCGGGAGCUCGCGUCCAUCGCCACCGAGCUCGCUCCCCUCCGAGCCAGCGCCCGUGGUCCCUCCCGCAUCGACGUUCGCCGCCGCCGCACUAGCCGCGGCUGCACUUGCUUGCCGCAGAUCGGACCCGGCCAUCGGAGGGCAGAAGGCUCGUUCCCAGGAGGGCCUGGAUACCUUUGCUUCGCCGCCUGCUGGACGCCCUUGCCUGCCCGGCGGCCAACCUCCUGCACUCGUUGCUCCUGGUUGGGGGGAUUGGCGUGGAUGCUUCCAUCGUGAUGAGGCGGCUGAUGUUCUCGAGCGUGAGCAAGGGGGAUGGCAGACUGUCUCGAAGGGGCGCUGCUCGCCGCCUCCUGCAGCUUUUGGUCGCCCUUCCAUCAAUGUGCGGCGUUCCCCUCCGACGUGGCUGAGAGACAGGUGUUUCCGGUGUCUCCGUCGAGGUCAUCGCGCAUACUCCUGCAGGGAUCCAAUCCGAUGCACUGACUGCCUUCGAUCUGGACAUAUCGCUCGCUUCUGUCGUGCUAAGAAGCCUGUCCACCAAGCUUCGCCGCUCCAAUGUCAUGCUCCAUCGGCUGCUUCCACCGGUGAUGUCUCCAUGAUAGAUGUGCAGAUCCCGUCUAUCUCGGCUGAGCAUGUCGGGUUGGUGGAGGAGACCAAGAUGCUUCGCACUGAGCUUCACGACUGCCUUGCGCGUGCCGGCAGUGUUUUGGGGAGGGCGGAGGCUGCUCUUGCCAAACUAGAGGUGGUGCCGAAUGUGUCUUCGCUGCCUGAGCUUCAGAUUGGGGUUGUGCCUGAUGUGUCCCUACUGCCCGAGAUCCAGGUUGUCUCUGUCGAUGGGGAAGGUGGCAUGUAUGGAGAUCUCUCCCCUCGUGCUACAGUAUGUCAGUUGCCGCUGCCUGUCAUGCCGAUUCCUUCAGGGAGUGAACUCAUUGUUGAGGUCGUGACUCCGGUGCUGCGGAUUAUGUCUGAGCUUCAGAAGCUUUGUGGGGAGCCCACUUUGCCUAUUUCGAUGGUGCUUCCCGAGGAGAUAGGGUCUCUUGGAGGGGACUUGGCGAUGCCGACUGCGACCUCAUCGUUUUCAUUGGAGCCGAGUCAGCCGCUUGCCUUUGUGGACCUUGGAGGUUUGGCGGCUGCUGCUGCUCUCUCACCUGAGGUUGUUGGCCCGGUGGCGUCUGUUGGUGCUGAGUUUGAUGAGGUAGGUGCUUUGACACCUGUGUCUAAGGCGCCGAAGCCCGUCCAGUCUCUCAUCUUUGACCGCGACGCUAUGUUGGCACGUAUUGAUGAGGUGGUCUUCGCGAAAAAGCUUGGCCGCUUGCUCACCAGCUUGGAUGCAGCUUGUCCUGGGUCUGCCAAGACGAUUGCUUGCCUCCUAGCGGAGGAGGUUUCUACGGGCAAAAUAAAGAAGGUGAAGAAGGCUAUCAGGAACAUAGGCAAGAAGACUGACGUUAUUAGGAAGGCGUCCGCGACUGCUUAAUGGAGGAUGCUCAGUCUUUUUGUCAUCCAUCUUCGAUUGACUCGCCUCUGUGGAUUUGGUGGCGUUCGGUGGUUUCGUUGAGGGUUUCGUUGCGAUGUCAUUUUGCGAGGGCUUAUGGUUGUUGCAUGUUAUGUAUGUUUGUUGGGUUGACCAUGGUGUCAUGGAGUUUCUUUCUUAGAGAGUAGUCCGCAUGUGGUCUAUAUGUAUCGGUUUUCGCCCGGUUUUCCUUUAAUUAACUGGGCAAUUCUCUUCUUCUUAAUUAAUCGAUGAGGCAAAUCUUUUGCCUCCGUUUCAAAAAAAAAAACAAGCAUCAGUUCAGGCAGCGCAGUGACACAGUUCGAGAAAUUCAGCUUUGUUCUUUCAGUAUCACAACUUUGCAAGUCCACUAGUACCACAAAUCAGCCUCCACUCUCCAGCAGCGCAGCAAGACCAAGAAGAAAAGAAGAUAUGGCUGGUCCGGCGAAGGCGUCGUGGAUGGUGGCCAUGAGCGUCAUGUACCUCAGCUGCUGGGGCCCAAAUUAGCAGCUGCCUACAUGGUACUAGUUAGGCGUGUCAGUGUUUGCUGCAACAACCAUGGCCUAUCUGGUUGGCCUUCCGUGGAAUCCCCCAUUGUAAAAUACCACGAUGAUGAUGAUGAAAAAUGCUGUUAUUUGAGCCAAUGUUUAUUUGCUUAUUUAUUAUCUUGUGAGGAAUAUGCAUACAUGCUCUGAUUUGGUUUCUACAUGCUCUGAUUUGGUUUCUACUUGCAACCCAAACAGAAGUUACACAACACUUGACAAAUCGUAGCCAAUUGUAACGGUCACCGAAUCAAGGACCUAGUGGCAGCACACUGAAUAGGUUUAGAUCCAUUUUUCAGUGUCCAACAAGAGGAUUUGGGGAUACAGGGACAGCAAGAAGAGGAGAGCAUGCGAGUUCUAUCUUAGUUCUGAAUAUCAAUCUUCAGUUAGUGCAGUGGCCCAGCCGACGGGCUCGACACAAACGUGCUGAAUUUCUUCAGUCUGCGGCACUUCGUUAAAGUGACACACGCGAUGAAUCCUCGUAUCUGUACUCAAGGUGUCAUCAAGCAACCAAUCCAUUUAUAGUACUUAUCAGUUUUGUUGGUGGACCUGCCUUCGGUUGCUUUGUUAGUACAAAGCGAGACCAAACGAGAAGUACUUCGGAUUGGUUGAAAGUACUUUCUUUUUUCUUCUUUUUUGCGCAUAGGUUGAAGAAAGUACUUUCUUUUUUCUUCUUUUUUGCGCAUAGGUUGAAGAAAGUACUUUCUUUUUUCUUCUUUUUUGCGCAUAGGUUGAAGAAAGUACUUUCUUUCUUCUUCUUUUUUGCGCAUAGGUUGAAGAAAGUACUUUCUGUGGCUCCAGUCGACCUGAUAUGCGACGAGGUCGAACGAAUAUAUUUUGAAUUUCUUUGUUGUAUAUUCGCUAAACUGACAGAGUAGUAAUUAAUUCAACUAAACAUGAUACAACUCUAGGUUAGACCACAUGUCCACAUUAAUAAAUAAACGUGCUUUCUGAUCACAGCUAUCACAGAGUGAGGCACGUCAAAGUUACUCCGUAAGGUUCCACUGAAAGAACAAGUGUUUUAUUGUUUUAUCAUCUAUAUCUAUACCAAUAUUAAAAGACCCAAACGGGCAGAUUUAAUUAAUCUUAUCCAUUAAAUCAUGUCAAUCCAACGACCUAGACUGCUUUAAUGUCGAGCGCUUAACAUGUUUAGCAUGUACUCCCUCAUUAAACUAAUAUAAGAGUGUUUAGAUCACUAUUCUAGUUUAUGGAGGGAGUAGUUAAUUUCAUGCCAAAAAUAGUGAUAAUCACGUAAUACCACGCAAAUAAUAUCUUACUUAAUAUCCGCAUGCACUUAAUAUACUUGCAAAUUAACGUGCAUUGCACGUACACAUUGACUAGUGAUGACAAAAGACACAUUACGUAUUUCCAUUCAAAUUCCUCUUAAUAACGUUAUCUUUGGUAAGAAUGACUCCUCGACGAAGAUAGCACGCAAAGAUUUUAUUCUUAAGCGGUAUCUUUAUCUUCAAUAUCUUCUUCUUAUUAUUAUCAACUGGCACAUCAGAUUUGAUCAACGCUCUAUACACUGAAUCUUCCGAGAAUUUCCCACUCCAUUUAGAUUCCACAGAAAUUCAUCGACUCCAUGUGAUAAAUGUACCGUAGCGAGACGAUUUAUCAAAUCAUCCACCAUGCAAGUCUGGGGCCUAUUAAAUCUCGUCCGAACGUCAUAUUCAGAGGAAAGGAUUCCAGAACAGAAGUUACUUCCAAUUAAUAAGCUGAUCGAUAUAAGAUAAAAAAAAUACUUACAACUAAGAUAAACAAAUUAUCCUCCAGAAACUUGUACUAAGAUAUUUGUUAGCCGCUUAUAUUAUAGAACUCUGUAGAAAAAUAUUAAAAGGUAAUAAAAUAUACGCAUAAAUAAAAUUAUUUUAUAUAUGAAUGCUCAUCUAUUGUAAAUGGUGUACUCUCUCCAAUAAAGAAUAAGUGUCUUAAAGUAGAACUACGACUCUUAUUUUGGAUCGGAAGGAGUAUCAAUUUAAAACAAAUUAUGUAUAGUAAAUUUGAUAUAUAAAAUAAUAAAAGUGUUUGGUAUAAAUAAGUUAUAACUAUUGGCGGAACCAAAGGUUUACCAGAGUGAUGGGCGACGGCAUUGCUAGAUUAGUUUGUUCCCAUUGGUCACUCUUAUGCCUAGGAGUUUGGUUCCCCCGAACCGUUCGAGUUGUUAAUUCGGUGUUUAGAAAAAUUUCGUUGUGCAGAAUCACGCACUGAUCGGUUAAUGGGGAAAGCACUGACCGAUGUUUUUGUGCAUUGUGAGUUUGGGCCAAUAAUCGGUCCUAACCGAACAACACCGAUCAUUUAAUAAUACCAGGAAAAAGUAUACAAUUUCCUCAUUUUUGGCUGAACAAAGGCUUAGGCUACAGUUUUCUCAUGUCAAAACCACAUCACCAAAUUAAAUAAGUUAUUUACUGUUUUCUAAGCAAACCACACCACCAACUUAGGUGCAAUUGAAUCAAGUUAAUCAGGACAUAAGUUAGAGUGGGAAACAAAGUUUAAGUUCGUCAGGUGCGGAGUAUCAGCAGGCGGCUGCGCAGACCAUGUAUUAUAUUUUAUACUAUCUUUUAUGAAAUAUAUAUUUUGCUCCAUCAAUUUUCAAAGUAUAAAACAAAAAUGUUGAAAAAUUCUGGUCUCCCAACUGUCAAAUUGUCCAGAGUUGCAUUUUAUCUAUUUGUUGUCUUACCAUAAAGUUGAAACGAUAAAUUUGCAUGCAUGAAAUUAAACUCAUAUUAUUCCUGACGAAAAAAAUAUGAUUCCUAACUAUUGUCAAAGCCAAAUUUGGCUUCGCAUAUUCAACACAAAAAAAAAUCUUUGUCUAUCAAGUGUUAAAACCGUCGAAAUUUUUAUUUCGUCCCAUUGAAAAGGAUUUUGACAAUGUUGUGGCAAUGGUUUUGCAUUCAUAUCACCAUAGUUUUUUUAUAUAGUUUGGGAAAGAUAUGAUAAUAGAAUAGUGUAACAUUAGAAAAAAUCGAAGCAACUAGAAAGAAAAGUAGGGAAAAACAAGUCAAAAUUUCAGACAAUUGACAAGCAAUAUGUUUAUUUUAGGAAUUUGCAAGUCUAUAUAAAAUAACAAUGGAAAUGAAGAACUUCGUGAAAAAUCGGUAAAACUGAAGGAACCUGCGAACAAUCUGGAAUAUAUCAAAAUUUAUUAAACCUAAAAUCAAUUUAAAAUGUGAAGAAUUAUGUUUCUUGAAAAAAUAAAUAUUUUGAAUUUUAUCAGAUUCCGUCAUUUUUAGAAUAUUUGUGAUAAUUACUCAAUUUCAAAAUUCCUAAAAUAUUACUUUGAUUUUUAUGUUUUUCUAAAAGUAUUUUAAUUUCCCCACUUUAUUCAUGCUGUUUUCCAAGUGUUUGAGGUGCUGCUUUCCAUGUUUAUUUGCACACUUAGCUAAACCAUGUGCAAAACUCGGGAAGAUGAGAAAUUAGAAAAGUUAAUAUUGAAAAAGCGCACGCAACUAGAAAGUAAAACUUGGGGAAAACAAGUCAAAAUUCCAUACAUUUAGUGAACAAUAUGUUUAUGAUAGGAAUUUGCAGGCCUAUAAAAAUGAUCAAAAUUGAAGGAAUUUAGACACUUAGCUACGACAUGUGCAAACCACCUCUAUGGCAACUUCAAAACCGCUUUCUAUGAAGCAGUUAAACUAUUUUCGACAAACUUGACGUUUGAUGGACAAAAAGAAAUUUGGACUAUACUUAGAGCAUCUACAGCCGCAAACACUAAAUCCGGCCCCUCAAACGACUGCGGACGUGCAUGGGUGCGUUCGUGGGCAGUGAUUAGGCAGCCCUCAAAUUUCCUUCUCUGCACCCGAAUAUCUCAUAUUUAAAACCUUAAAUACAUACCAAGUAUGCAAAACGAAAACUUGCGCACUACGUAGAUCAACUAAAUCCUACACUAUCCUAAUCCUUGUCGUCGGAGAUGUCCACGAUCUUCAUGCCAGGCAACGGGUACAUAGGCGGCAGCUGCAACUCCGUCUCCCGUGCGUCGACCUCCACCUCUAGUUUGACAGAAAGCAUGUCGGUCUUUGCUUGUUUCUGCCGGAUGAAGCGCCGGUUGGCAUCCACAUCGGACUCCAGGAUGGUGGUAUGCUCCGCCAUCUAUGUUGCUUGGGCGAUCUCGAACUCCGCCAUGGCGCCUUCCAUGACAAAGCCCGCAACCAGCUUCAGCUCCGCCGCGUACUCCUCCGGCCCAUCCGGAUCCGUCCCCACCAUGGGUCUGGCUGCUGCUCCUCCUCCGGAUCCGGCGAGUCCAGAGGUAGGCCGGUUGCGAGCCGGGCGACGUGCCUAGCCCAAAUCCCCUCGAGCAGCUAGAAAUGCCGCUCCGGAGUUAGCAUAGUGUAUGUGGUUUUUUUCUUCUGCCGGGUCAUGGGGAGACAGACGGCGAGGGAAAAGAGAGGCGGAGAGGGAGAGAAGUGGAUGGGCUCGGGCUGUCGGCACGGAGAGGGAGGAAGCGGAUGUGGCUAGGGCUGCGAGACCUUUGAACAGCUUAAAUAGCAGGAUUUUGGCCCUCUCGCAGCGAGCCGGAGCGGCGCCAUGCGACAUUCACACCCCCACCGAAGGAGACGCAUGUUGGACCGUCGGGUUUCCGGACAAUUACAUGUGGGACCCGAUCGUCAGUUCGACACGGCGACCGUGUCCUGGCCGCCCCAUACCUGCUCCAGAAUUGGUCCGAAUAUGAGAGAAUGCCGGUCAGCCUGGGCAUUUGACAUCGGUUUGAGGCAUCCGAGUGGGUUGGAUUUUUUUGAUCCGGUCAGUGACCGGGACGCCAGCCGGACGCUUGAGACAGUUUUGAGGGACCAUAGAGGCUCUUGGUCGAGUGACCAUGGAUGCUAUUUGUAAGACGAUUACUUUUUAUUCUCGCAAUAAAAUUUGAUUCUGCUCACUGAAUAUUGACACACGUUAUCUAUGCCUCAUUCCGAUCUUAUUUCUGUCGGCGUGUGUCAAAGCGAAACUCUCGCAAUGGACAAAAACCGCUACUUCCACGGCAAAUAAACAAAACGACACGGCAGCGAUAGGUGUGACGUGCACAAGCAGAGUAGCAGCAGAGUGACCCCUCCGAAAGCACCCGGUAUCCCUGAAAACCAACGUCCGCGACCACUGUUUUGCUGCAGACAUCCCAAGCCUCCCUCCUGUAUAUAACCUCGUUCCAAUCCCACUCUUCCUCUCAUCAACAAAUUACACAAGCAUCAAUCAGCCUUCAGCUCAAAAUUCAUUCCAUACUCCACACUCGACUGCUAGCUACCAAUCUCCAGGCAUCACAUAGUUCGGACGGAUCAAGCAGUUGUACUGCCUCCACCAACGCAGAGAAAGAUCAUGGCGGGUGCGGCGAAGGCGUCUUGGAUGGUGGCGAUGAGCGUGGGCGCCGUGGAGGCCCUCAAGGAUCAGGCUGGACUCUGCCGCUGGAACUACGCGCUCAGGUCCAUCCACCGGACUGCCAAGGCCAGGGCCAACGUCCACGGCGCCGUCUCUCAAGGCUCCAAGCAGCUUCCGGCCUCCGCCGCAGCCGUGGCGGAGAAGCAGCGAGCCGAGAAGGCCGAGGAAGGGCUGAGGACGGUGAUGUACCUCAGCUGCUGGGGGCCAAAUUAGCAGCUGCAGCUUGGUACAGCAGCUGCAGCUUGGUACUAGCUAGGCGUGUUAGUGUUUGCUGCAACAACCAUGGCCUGAAAUCUGUCUGGCUUCCCGUGGAAUCCCCCGUUGCAAAAUACCACCACAAUGAUGAUGAUGAAAAAUGAUGUUACUUGAGCCCAUGUCUAUUUGCUUAUUUAUGAUCUUGGUGAGGAAUAUGCAUACAUGCUCUGAUUUGGUGUCUGCUUACAACCCAGCAAAUUGUGACGGUCAACGGGUCAAGGACCUAGUGGCAGGACACUGAGUAGGGUCAGAUCAAAUUUUCAGUGUCCAACAAGAGGAUUUGGGGAUACAGGGACAGCAAGAAGAGGAGAGCAAGUGAGUUCUAUCUCAGUUCUGAAUACCAAUCUUCAGUUACAUACAGUAGGCAUCAGCCUCCAACCUGGACACGGCCACCUCACGCACACGCAACACAAUGAUUUGCUAAGCAGGCUGGGUUGUCUCCGUUUCCCUUCGAUCUUUAGUUAAUACAGUGGCCCGGCCCACGGGCGCGACACAAACAUGCUGAAUUUCUUCCAUCUGCGGCACUUUGUUAAAGUGACACACGCGAUGAAUCCUCGUAUCUGUGCUCAAGGUGUCAUCAAUCAACCAAUCUAUUUACUGUACUUAUAACUUAUAAGUUUUGUUGGUGGACCUGUCUUCGGUUGCUUUGUUACUCCAAAACGAGACCAAACGAGAAGUACUUUGAAUUAGGUCAUGGCGAAUAUGUUCUGAAUUUCUCCGUUGUAUAUUCGCUAAACUGACACAAUAGAAACAUGAUACCUCUUCAGGUUAGACCACAUUAAUAAGUAUCACAGAGGGAGGCACAUCAAAGUUACUCCGUAUCUUGAACUAAAAAAAGUUACUCCGUAUCUUUCUACCAGCAAUUUUGGAUUUUUCCCUAGGGCCAUGAAACCAAAAGAGAAGAAAAAUAAAUAAAAUCAGACUUUCAGAUAAUAGGUACAAUCGGCUGCACAGUAGUUCCUUCCAAUUAAUUAAGCUGAUUGAUAACUAACUGUCCUUGGCUCGGGCCAGUGCCGCGGAAGUUCUGCUUCCCGUCUCUCUUCAAACACUCGAGGCGUAAGGGCAGAACUGUGGCACAAGCUAUCACUGACGACCGCUGGGUCUUGGACCUUGCACACGGCAACAACAGCAACCUUGUCAGCGAGGUUCUUGAUCUGCAUCGUCUCAUUCAGCGCCGGCAGCUCAACUUCCAGGCCGAAGAUCAGGACCAGAUCCGCUGGAACUUGGAGGGAUCAGGUCAGUACAGCUCCCGCUCGGCCUACGCCCUCCAGUUCUUGGGCUCGACGACGGGCAUGUUCCAGGCCAUGAUCUGGGCCAUCUGGGCUCCGGCGAAGCUUAAGAUGUUUGCGUGGCUCCUCCACCAGAACCGGCUGUGGUGCAAUGACCGUCUCCAACGUAGGGGCUGGCCAAACUCCUACUUUUGCCAGCUCUGCCUCAGGAACCUGGAGACCUCGGCUCAUCUGUUCUGGAGCUGCCCGUUCACGAAGACAGUAUGGACUAGCUUGUCCUCUUGGCAGCACUGCCAGGGGCUAAGUAAGGCGUGUCUGCCCAACGAAUGCAGCUCCCUGGAAAAGGUCGAAGCCAUGGUUUCAGCAACAGGGCCAGCACAUGCGAAAGGAAUCAAGUCGCUGAUCAUGCUGGUGCUUUGGAAAAUCUGGCAAGAGCGCAACAACCGCGUUUUCAGAAAGAAAGAGGCUACGGUGCAAGCGGUGAUCAAUGACAUCAGGAGAGAGCUCUGUCUUUGGCAACAGGGCGGUUUCAAAUCCAUUCUGAGCCCCUUCGGGGAUCCUCCAUGAGAUAGUAGUCUUAGAUCCGGGUGCCUCAGGCACCAAGGCUUUUUCCUUCUUUUUGUUUACCUCCUUGAUCCCAGGAUCAUCGCCUUUGUCACUUUGUCAUCUGCUCCCUGCUUAACCAAUGAAACCCCAGCCAUGGCUGGCUCGUUCAAAAAAAAAACUAACUGUCCUCCACAAAGCUUUACUAAGAUAUUUGUUAGCCGCUUAUGUUAUAGAACUCUAUAGCAAGAUAUUCAAAGAUAAUAAACUAGACACAUAAAUAAAAUUAUGUUGUAUAUGAAUGUUCAUCUAAUUUUCCUCUUAUAUGGAUGGAAUUUAACUUACUUAAAAGUCCCAAACAUAUUUGGAAAAAAUAAUAGAAGUUUUACAACAAAUUGGAGUUGCUUUGUCAUUAUAGUAAUCUCAAUAGUUUUUUUAUAAUAUUUAACUCUAAGUUACUACUUGGGGUUCAUGUUGUUAGGUAUAGUAGACAUUUUUUUUGUAAAUGUUGUACUCUCUCCUAUCAAACAUAAGUGUCUUAAAAUAAAACUAUGACACUUAUUUUGGAUCGGAAGGAGUAUCAAUUUAAAAUAAAAUUAUAUAUAGUAAAUUUGAUAUAUAAAAUAAAUAAAGUAUUUGGUAUAAGUAAGUUAUCUGGCGGACGACGAGGAUGCUAGCCAUGACGGCUGCGUCCCGGCGGACGACGAGGUUGGUGCCGCCCAUGGUGGCUGCAUCUCGGCGAACGACGAGGUUUGUGCCGCCCAUGGUGGAGGACCGGGCGGAAGUGGAGGCCGACCAGAUGGAGGGGGUGGUGGUUGCUACCUCUUGAGCAUGCGUUGGUUUUCCCUUGAAGAGGAAAGGGUGAUGCAGUAAAGUAGCGUAAGUAUUUCCCUCAGUUUUUGAGAACCAAGGUAUCAAUCCAGUAGGAGGCCACAUGCAAGUCCCUCGUACCUACACAAACAAAUAAAAACCUUGCAACCAACACGAUAAAGGGGUUGUCAAUCCCUUCACGGCCACUUGCAAAAGUGAGAUCUGAUAGAGAUGAUAAGAUAAUAUUUUUGGUAUUUUUAUGAUAAAAAUUAAAAGUAAAGAUUGCAAAAUAAACGGCGACAGAAAUAGCUAGUUGACAGGAGAUUAAUAUGAUGGAAAAUAGACCCGGGGGCCAUAGGUUUCACUAGUGGCUUCUCUCAAGAUAGUAUAAGUAUUACGGUGGGUGAACAAAUUACUGUCGAGCAAUUGAUAGAAAAGUGCAUAAUUAUGAGAAUAUCUAGGCAUGAUCAUGUAUAUAGGCAUCACGUCCGCAACAAGUAGACCGACUCCUGCCUGCAUCUACUACUAUUACUCCACACAUCGACCGCUAUCCAACAUGCAUCUAGAGUAUUAAGUUCAUAAGAACAGAGUAACGCAUUAGGCAAGAUGACAUGAUGUAGAGGGAUAAACUCAAGCAAUAUGAUAUAAACCCCAUCUUUUUAUCCUCGAUGGCAAUAAUACAAUACGUGUCGUUUCCCCUUCUGUCACUGGGAUCGAGCAACGCAAGAUUGAACCCAAAGCUAAGCACUUCUCCCAUUGCAAGAAAGAUCAAUCUAGUAGGCCAAACCAAACUGAUAAUUCAAAGAGACUUGCAAAGAUAACCAAUCAUACAUAAAAGAAUUCAGAGAAGAUUCAAAUAUUGUUCAUAGAUAAUCUUGAUCAUAAACCCACAAUUCAUUGGAUCUCGACAAACACACCGCAAAAAGAGUUACAUCGAAUAGAUCUCCAAGAAGAUCGAGGAGAACUUUGUAUUGAGAUCCAAAUAGAGAGAAGGACCCAUCUAGCUAAUAACUAUGGACCCGAAGUUCUGUGGUAAACUACUCACACAUCAUCGGAGAGGCUAUGGUGUUGGUGUAGAAGCCCUCCGUGAUCGAUUCCCCCUCCGGCGGAGUGCCGGAAAAGGCCCCAAGAUGGGAUCUCGCGGGUACAGAAGGUUGCGGCGGUGGAAAUAGGGUUUCAUGGUGCUCCUCGAUGGUUUCGGGGUACAUGGGUAUAUAUAGGAGGAAGAUGUAGGUCGGUGGAGCCACGAGGGGCCCACGAGGGUGGGGGCGCGCCCGGGGGGGGGGAGGGAGGUGCGCCUCCCUGCCUCGUGGCCUCCUCGUUGAUUUCUUGACGUCCACUCCAAGUCCUCUGGAUCACGUUUGUUCCAAAAAUCACACUCCCGAAGGUUUCAUUCCGUUUGGACCUGCUUGGUAUUCCUUUUCCGCGAAACACUGAAAUAGACAAAAAAACAGCAAUUUGCACUGGGCCUUGGUUUAGUAGGUUAGUCCCAAAAAUAAUAUAAAAGUGUAUAAUAAAGUCCAUUAAAUAUCCAAAACAGAAUAUAUAAUAGCAUGGAGCAAUAAAAAAUUAUAGAUACGUUGGAGACGUAUCAGUGGUGUCGCGCCGUGCGCCAGCGUUGGGUGAUCGAUAAGACCCAAAGACGAAGACGGUGGCGUCGGGCCGUGCGAAACCAGAGGCAUCGGGCGCGCGUCAGUGCCGCAUGAUGAUGGUGAUGGCAUGCCAUAGGGAUGGUCAUUCGGCGCUGGGGCCGUCUGGCUGUGGUGGUGAACCUGCGGUGGUCGGCCUGUCUUGCCGUGCUGGUUGUGCGGUGUGUUGGAAAUAUGCCCUAGAGGCAAUAAUAAAUGGUUAUUAUUAUAUUUCUUUGUUCAUGAUAAUAGUCUAUUGUUCAUGCUAUAAUUGUAUUAUCCGGAAAUCGUAAUACAUGUGUGAAUACAUAGACCACAAUAUGUCCCUAGUAAGCCUCUAGUUGACUAGCUCGUUGAUCAACAGAUAGUCAUGGUUUCCUGACUAUGGACAUUGGAUGUCAUUGAUAACGGGAUCACAUCAUUAGGAGAAUGAUGUGAUGGACAAGACCCAAUCCUAAGCAUAGCAUAAAAGAUCGUGUAGUUUCGUUUGCUAGAGCUUUUCCAAUGUCAAGUAUCUUUUCCUUAGACCAUGAGAUCGUGCAAGUCCCGGAUACCGUAGGAGUGCUUUGGGUGUGCCAAACGUCACAACGUAACUGGGUGACUAUAAAGGUGCACUACGGGUAUCUCCGAAAGUGUCUGUUGGGUUGGCACGGAUCGAGACUGGGAUUUGUCACUCCGUGUGACGGAGAGGUAUCUCUGGGCCCACUCGGUAAUGCAUCAUCAUAAUGAGCUCAAUGUGACUAAGGCGUUAGUCACGGGAUCAUGCAUUGCGGUACGAGUAAAGAGACUUGCCGGUAACGAGAUUGAACAAGGUAUUGGGAUACCGACGACCGAAUCUCGGGCAAGUAACAUACCGAUUGACAAAGGGAAUUGCAUACUGAUUGAUUGAAUCCUCGACACCGUGGUUCAUCCGAUGAGAUCAUCGUGGAACAUGUGGGAGCCAACAUGGGUAUCCAGAUCCCGCUGUUGGUUAUUGACCAGAGAGGCGUCUCGGUCAUGUCUGCAUGUCUCCCGAACCCGUAGGGUCUACACACUUAAGGUUCGGUGACGCUAGGGUUGUAGAGAUAUAUGUAUGCGGAAACCCGAAAGUUAAGUUGUUCGGAGUCCCGGAUGAGAUCCCGGACGUCACGAGAGGUUCCGGAAUGGUCCGGAGGUGAAGAAUUAUAUAUAGGAAGUCAAGUUUCGGCCACCGGGAAAGUUUCGGGGGUUACCGGUAUUGUACCGGGACCACCGGAAGGGUCCCGGGGUCCACGGGGUGGGGCCACCUAUCCCGGAGGGCCCCGUGGGCUGAAAGUGGAAGGGAACCAGCCCUUAGUGGGCUGGGGCGCCCCCCUUGGGCCUCCCCCCAUGCGCCUAGGGUUGGGAACCCUAGGGGGGGAGCUUCCCCCUUGCCUUGGGGGGCAAGGCAACACUUUCCCCUCUUUGGCCGCCGCCCCCCCUUGGAGAUCCCAUCUCCCUGGGCCGGCGCCCCCAGGGGGCCUAUAUAAAGGGGGGGGGAGGGAGGGCAGCAACCUACAGCCUUGGGCGCCUCCCUCCUCCCCUGCAACACCUCUCUCUCUCUCGCAGAAGCUCGGCGAAGCCCUGCCGGAGAACCGCUACAUCCACCACCACGCCGUCGUGCUGCUGGAUCUCCAUCAACCUCUCCUUCCCCCUUGCUGGAUCAAGAAGGAGGAGACGUCGCUGCACCGUACGUGUGUUGAACGCGGAGGUGCCGUCCGUUCGGCACUCGGUCAUCGGUGAUUUGGAUCACGGCGAGUACGACUCCGUCAUCCACGUUCAUUGGAACGCUUCCGCUCGCGAUCUACAAGGGUAUGUAGAUGCACUCCCUUCCCCUCGUUGCUAGUAUACUCCAUAGAUGCAUCUUGGUGAACGUAGGAAAAUUUUAAAAUUAUGCUACGAUUCCCAACACGGUGGUCGGCCCGUUUGGAUGUGGCGUUGAGGGUGCUGAGAGUUGGGGGGAAACGACUGACCAUGGUGGUGGAGGAGGCCGUGGUCCUGACCGUACUGAAAGCGAGGGGCAGGUUGAAUCUGUGGUCGGAGAAGAGAAGGCGGUGCCAGAAGGAUUUGGUCCUGAAAGUGUUGGGCCGGGAGAAUCGGCGGCGCGGGCAGGAAGUUGGGACAAAGGUGAUCAGGGUGGACGCGUGGGGACGCGGCAGCAGCAUAGGACUGCCAGUGGCCGCCACAUGGCUGCCGGUGUGGGAGGGAAAGCUCGGAGCAUCGUAAGAUUUUGGGAAGGGGUUUUCUGAAUGGAUCCCCACCCCACAAAGGUGGAGGCGUCUUUGAAGCGUUCGGGGUGCGGGUGCAUGGAGCCAGACAGUAUAGCGAGCGAACUGCGAGGUGAAAAGCCUGACUACUUUUUCCUUUUCUUUUGGGGAGGGUAAAAGCAUUGCUAACAGUGGAUGCUAUCUUCUCCUAUCACUCUGUCUGUACUCGGUUUUUACCGUACAUCCUUCAAAGUACAUCCCUGUAUAUAACCUCCUCUUAGGGGGCGUUUGGUUUACAGGCUAUUCACCAUAGGGACAGGGAUAGACAAUUUUUUAGGGGAUAUCACUUGUUUGGUUUACUAGCCAGGAGGGAUAGGGAUAACCAGAUACUAGCGAAUAUUCCUUCAAAACGUGGUUGACGGGAGUCACGAGAUUAUGGCGGAUGAGGGCAGCCACCCGCGCUUGCGUGAAACGUUUUCCCAUGCGCGCCCUCUGUCGCGUGUCCGUGGCAAUCGGCCCGGCGGCGCUCUCGGAUGCCUCCGCCGCUGGCACACCACAGCCCACGCCGGCGCCCUGCUUGGCCGUCGGCCAAGGCCCUGCUCCUCGAGACGAGGCGAGCCGCGGGUGCUCCAUCCUUUCCAGGCAACUCGCCUCCCACUCUCGGCCAUGGCCCCUACCUCCAUCAACCCCCCUCUCUCGGCCUGUUGUGACCGUGGCUGGCGGGGAACGGGGAGCUCCGGCGGCUGGGAACGAGGAUCACUUGAGAUCUUCCAGCGGACACAUGUGACGCAGAUGGGGAGACCUCUGGUGGUGGGGAACAAGGAGAUCUCCUGUGGUUUGGAACGAGGAGAGCUUGCCUAUCUGUUGUCUAUAUGUAUGUGACAGUCUUUCAACUCUCCCGUUUUCUCGACAGGUAGCACAUAUGAACACUACUGAUUUAAUAGUAUGGACAAUCACCUGUAUGAUUGUACAAAGAAGAACAUGUAUACAUGUAUGAAUAUUUGGUAAAAAAAUUCGACAAAGGGUGGAUUUUAUUAACUCAAAAUGAAGGAUCAAGGGGAUACAAACACAUUGAGCACACACCCGGCCUCUGCAUAACCAGGAUGCACACAGCCAACACCAACACACACAAAAGAGAAAAAAAACGCCAGCAAAGAGCAAAGUCAUACAAGACUCAAGCUAUGCCUAAGCGAGGGAAAAGAAAAAGGAAAAAACACUCUGAAACGAUCAAAACAACGGUUGAUAAACUACAUCAACGACCAUAUCCGCACCAACCAUCUCUUGACAGAACAAGCGCAACGAGAAAGUUUCUUCAACAGCAACGCCUUCAGGAAGGAAACGACGCUUAAACGUCGCCGUCACUGGACCCGACCAACAAAGGUCAGACUCUAGGUUUUCACCCCGAAGAACAAGUCUGAGCACAUCCGAGCAAUGCCUUCAUCAAGGUAACGACGCAAAAACAUCGGCAUCGCCAGGUAUAACCAAUUCAGGCCAGACCUAGGGUUUUCACCCCGGAACUCGAGACCGGGUACUCGAGAAGCACCACCAAAUCAAAGUCAUCAUGUUGUCGCCACCACUUUCCGCGAUCCCAGCAGCUAAAGGUGAGGCACAGUCUUUACAUGCCGGCAUGGCUUGCCGCUGCACAACCAUCUCCUCUGCGUCAAGCCGUCGUCCAUAGAAUUUAUCUCACCGCUGAAUGCAAACUGGCCGGAUUGAGAGCCACCGAAACUCCCAAUGGAGCCUUCCGGUUACAUCACACAACCUCGCCAGUGCGAGCUGCUGGCAAUAACCAAUGGAUCCUAAGAAAAAACUCUCAUGAAGACCCUUGAAUGGCCACUGCAAUCUGCGGCUCGAGUGGCCGGACGGUGCCGCCAUGGUCAGGAUGAAAAUUGCCCCCUCGCAUCGAUCGGACGAACCACCUGCGGCCAAGUGACAAGCAUCGGUCAACCGAUGUAAGUCCCAAGGCGCCACCACCAACCUCCUUCGGCCUUGUGAUCUGUCGGCGGCAACAGCGGCGAGCGUCUUGGGUCGCUUGGGAAGAUGACCCUUAUCACCAACGCUGCCAUGCUCUGGACAGCCGGAGGAAGCUUCGGUCCGAACCUGCAUGAUCUUGACCGCAGGCUGCUGGAGGAGAAUGGAUGGUCAUCUCCACCCAGGCCAUUGCCAAGGCAUCACUAUGCUGCCCAGUUCAGAUUCCCAGAUCGCUCUAGCCAUUGACCUAUGCAUGUCCCUGUGCACAGAUCGCCUGCCGCUGCAUGUCCAUGCGCAGAUCGCUCUAGCCUUCGGACGUUGCAUGAAGAUCGCUGCUGAGUUGUUGUUCACCUCGCGCGCCGUUCAGCGCCUUGCGUAGAAGCCAUCGCCCGGAGCCCCGCUGCCGCCGUCAGCCACACAGGCUUUGCUCGGCAGCGUCGUUCGGCGGCGGCGAGGGAAGCGAGAGAGGUGGGGAGGUCCCGAAGAAACAUGAAUAUUUGGUAAAUAGUGACCAGUUCAUGGUAUUUGAUUGUAUGGACAGUCACGUGUAUGAUUGUACAAAGAACAUGUAUACACGUAUUUGAUUGUGCAAAGAGGAACAUGUAUAUAUGUAUUUGAUAUACAAAGAAGAGCAUGUAUUAAUAUUGCGUUGUAGAAGAACAUAAAAAAAUAACUAAUGACUAUCCAUAUCCACCUUUUAUCCUUGCAACCAAACAAUAAAAAGCGGUUAUCCAUCUCAUCUAAUCUUUCGCAACCAAACGACAAAAACUGGCUAUCCCCAACCAGGUGGUUAAGGAUAUCCUCAGCCAAGCCAACCUCGCCCGUGAACCAAACGCCACCUUAGUCCCACUCUUACUCUCGUCAACACAAGCAUCAAUCACCCUUCAGCUCAGUACAUUCACAACCACAAAGCCUGCGCUCUACACUCGACUAGUAGCUACUAAUCUUCAGUCAUCACCUAGUCUAGAAUCAACAGAUCAGUCAGCGGUGCUGUCUCCACCAACACAGAGAGGGAUCAUGCCGGGUGCGGCAAAGGCGUCUUGGAUGGUGGUGAUGAGCGUUGGCGCGGUGGAGGCGCUCAAGGAUUAGGCCGGCCUCUGCCGGUGGAACUACGCGCUUAGGUCCAUCCACUUGGUAGCGAAGGCGAGGGCCAACAUCCGCGGCGGCGUCUCCCAGGGCGGCAAGAAGCUUCCAACCUCUGUGGCGGCGGUGGCGGAGAGGCGGCGAGUGGAGAAGGAUGAGAAGGGGCUGAGGACGCUGAUGUAGCUCAGCUGCCGGGGUCCCAAUUAGCAGCUGCAACUUGGUAGUUGCUACUACCUAGGCGCGUCUGUGUUUGCUGUAACAACGAUGGCCUGAAACAUGUCUGGCUUCCCGUGGAAUCCCCCAUUGUAAAAUACCACCAUAAUGAUGAUGAUGGUGAUGAAUGAUGUUACUUGAGCUCCAUGUCUAUUUGCUUAGUUAUUAUCUUGGUGAGGAAUAUGCAUCCAUGCUCUGAUUUGGUGUCUGCUUACAACUCAGAAAGAACUUACAGCUACACUUAAACAACAAAUCAUAGCAAAUUGUAACGUUCAAUGGGUCAAGAGCCUAGUGGCAGCACACUGAAUAGGUUCAGAUCAAUUUUUCAGUGUCCAACAGGAGGAUUUGGGGUUGGGGAUACAUGGACAUCAAGAAGAGGAGAGGAGAUGCAUUCCCGGAUCCAGACCAAUCUUUAGUUACAUCAGCCUCCUACCUGGAUACAGCCAACUCAUGCACACGCAACACCACCCUUUGCUAAACAUGUCGGGCUGUCUCGGUUCCCCUUUGAUCUUCAGUUAAUGCAGUGGCCCGCCCCACAGGCUCGACACAAACAUGCUGAAUUUCUUCAGUAUGCGGCACAGGCGAUGAAUCCUCGUAUCUAUACUCAAGGUGUCAUCAAGCAACCAAUCCAUUUACAGUACUUAUCAGUUUUGUUGGUGAACCUGUCUUCGGUUGCUUUGUUAGUCCGAAACAAGACCAAACGAGAAGCACUUCGAAUUGGUUGAAAGUACUUUCUUUCUUCUUCUUUUUCGCGCAUAGUUUGAAGAAAGUACUUUCUGUGGCUCUAGUCGACCUGAUGCGCGACGAGGUCGAAUGAAUAUAUUUUGAAUUUCUUUGCUGUAUACUUUAUUCGCUAAGCUGAUACAGUAGUAAUCACUGUCCAAAAAAUCUUCCGAUUCAGCGAUUUAUCGUCCGAUUUAUCGCUACUCUUGGGGUGACCGAUAAGAUUAUGCCUUAUCUUCACCGUUUAUCGUUUGAGCCGAUUUAUCGCUAUGACAAGCGAUUUAUCAGGAAUCUGCCGAUAAAUAGGACCUAUUAAUAGCACUAUGUUUGCAAAAGUUAUGUUUAUUUGCAUUUUGUGGACCUUGUUACGCAAUAUGUAUUGUUGUGCUAUUUUGCUUGUCAUUAUAAGAGGAUUCAAAGGCUGGGAAUCAAGGUAACACUUUUGUCCAAUAUUUUUUUGGUUUUGAAUUUAGCAUAUUUUAGUAUUGGGAACCCCGAAUUUGAAAAAAAAAUGACAGAUUAAUAGUCGACCGAUAAAAUCGAUUAAUCUAUCGAUUUCCGAUUAGUCUCUAAUCCCCAGCUGACCGAGACGCUAACGCUAAGCGAUAUCCUCAACAUUGGUACUAAUUCAACUAAACAUGAUACAGCUCCAGCUUCAGAUUAAACCACAUGUGCACAUUAAUAAGUAAAUGUGCUUUCUGAUCACAGCUAUCAUAGAGUGAGGCACAUCAAAGUUACUCAAUAUCUUUCUUCUUCCAAUGAAAGAUCAACACUUUCGAUUUUGCCCUAGGGCCAUGAAACCAAAAGAGAAGAAAAACAAAUAAAAUCAGACAUUCAGUUAAUAGGUACAAUCAGGUGCACAGUAGUUCCUUCCAAUUAAUAAGCUGAUCGAUAUAAGAUAAAAAAUACGUACAACUAAGAUAAACAAAUUGUCCUCCACAAACUUGUACUAAGAUAUAUGUUAGCCGCUUAUGUUAUAGAACUCUCUAGCAAAAUAUUCAAACGUAAUAAAAUAGACGAAUAAAUAAAAUUAUUUUUUAUAUGAAUGUUCAUCUAAUUUUUCUCUUAUAUGGAUGGAAUUUAACUUACUUAAAUGUCCCAAACAUAUUUGGAAAAAUAAUAUAAGUUUAACAACAAAUUGGAGUUGGUUUGUCAUUAUUGUAAUCUUAAUGGCUUUUUUUAAUAAUAUUUAACUCUAAGUUACUACUUGGGGUUCAUGUUGUUAGGUAUAGCAGACAAUUUUUAAAAAAUGUUGUACUCUCUCCGAUGAAAAUAAGUGUCUUAAGUAAAACUACGACACUAACUUUGGAUCGGAAGAGUAUCAAUUUAAAACAAAAUUAUGUAUAGUAAAUUUGAUAUAAUAAAUAGAAGUGUUGUCUAUAAAUAAGUUAUAACCAUUGGUGGAACCAGAGAUCGAGGUUUACUGGAGUGACGGGCGAUGACAUUCCUAGAUUAGUUUGCUCCCAUUGGUCACUAUGUACGGGUGGUAUGAAUCACUACCGGAGACCCAGGGCGAUCGACUAUGCUCAACCCAGCGCUUUAUUCUUCCAUUGAUGAUAACCUUAUUUCUAAACUGCAUGCACAAUUAAAAUUGAUUAUUCUAAUCAAUCCUGCAUACUUUCAUCAUGUAUUGUGAUUCUUUUUUCGAUGCCUUAGUUAUGUCAUCAUUGUUAUCUUCAACACUAUUUAAAAAGACGUAAUAUUCCGUCUUUAGUCUUACGUCUUUUGUUUCGUCCAACCUCCCACAUCCCUGCAACCCCACAUCGUCUCCCCUUCUUUUGUCUAUCUCUGGUUUAUUUUCAUGUCACUCCCUUUCCUGGUUCGAUAGGAUGCAACCCACACACCAUAAUCAAUCACUAUCGACGCCUCCCACACUCUUCUCACUUCUCCCAACCUUGGGUUUCCAGACUCCACUACUAUAGAACCGAAUAACACCGGCAAAUCAUAACAUCAUUGCUGUGCCAACGGCCUAUCAUUAGUUCCGGGUCGGUAAUGACUUUAUCAUCACUAACAAUCCCAAUGGAAUGUGGCUGAUGAUGACUACCGUCUGAAUGGUUGGCUGAGAAACCAAAAAAGUUGGGGUACACCAGCUGCCAAAAAUGAACCAGGAUAAACCUCAGCUUUUAAAGAAGUGUUGGUUUAAAAUACCCCUUUGGUUAGAUUCCAAUUUUUUAGCCAAAAGUUGGCAGCACAAACUGAAACAAACACCAAUUGCCAAAAAAGAACUAGGAAAAACCUCAGUUUUUAAAGAAGUGUUGGUUGUUUAGAAUACCACUUUGGUUUAAAUUCCAACUUUUUUAGCCAAAAGUUGGCAGCUCAAACUGAAACAAACUCAGGCUUGUUGUCUCACUACUAUCACAGGCUUGAGGCAUCUGCCGUCGGACAUGUGCUUUUCUCGGAGUCUGUGUCGCCUCAGUUUGUCCGGAUGCGGAUGCCGGGCAUGGAGCAACUCGUUGCCUGCACGUUGUACGCCCCUCAAGCGGGUGAGCCGUCAUACGACGAUGUGGACUGACAAAUGUUGGAGAUAAGCAACCAAUCCAUUUAGUACUUAUCAGUUUUGUUGAUGGACCUGCCUUUGGUUGUUUUGUUAGUCCAAAACGAGACCAAACAAGAAGUACUUCGAAUUGGUUGAAAGUACUUUUUGUGGCUCCAGUCGACCUGAUGUACUAAUAUGUUUGGAUUCCUUUGUUGUAUAUUCGCUAAAAAAAAUUGCGGGUGUAUAUUCCCGAAACUGAAGCAAUAGUAAGUCAACUAAACAUGAUACAACUUCAGGUUAGACCACCUUAAAAAGGAAACAUGCUUUCUUUAUCACAACUAUCACAGCGAGGUACAUCAAAGUUACUCCCUCCAUUCCAUAAUAUAACAUCGUUUUGCCAACUAAAAUAGCUCGCAAAACGAUUCUAUAUUGUGGGACGGAGGGGUACUCCGUAUCUUUCUAGUUUCCACUAAAAGAGCAGCAAUUUGGAUUUUGCCCUAGGACCAUGGAACCAAAAUAGAAGAAAAAUAAAUAAAAUCAGUCAUUCAGAUAAUAGGUACAAUCAGGCGCACAGUAGUUCCUUCCAAUUAAUAAGCUGAUCGAUAUAAGAUAAAAAAUACUUGCAACUAAGAUAAACAAACUGUGCUCGACAAACUUGUACUAACAUAUUUCUUAGACGUUUAUAUUAUAGAAUUCUAUAGCAAACUAUUCAAAGGUAAUAAAAUAGACUCAUAAACAAAAUUAUUUUGUAUAUGAAUGCUACUUCUAAUUUUUCUCUGAUAUGGAUGGAAUUUAACUUAAUUAAAUGUCCCAAACAUAUUUGGAAAAUAUAAGAUAAGUUUUACAACAAAAUAGAGUUAGUUUAUCAUUAUAGCAAUGUCAAUGGUAAUUUUUUGUGGAUAAAUGUUAACUAUAUUUGGCAUUUUUGUUGUUAGGUAUAGUAGACAAAAAUUGUUGUUUUAAAAAAAGCAAUUUAAAACAAAAUAAUGUAUAGAAAAUAUGAUAUAUAAUAGAAAGUAAUUUUUUGGCAUAAAUAAGUUAUAACCCAUUAGCGAAACCAAAUCAAGUUUUGUGGAGGUGACGCACAACGACAUUCCUCGAUUAGUUUAUUCCCAUUGGUGAAUAUGUACGGGAGGUAUGAAUCUGCAUCGGAGACCAAGACAACAGACCAUGCUUACCCAAGUGGUGAAUCUGCCACUAGUGAUAAUCAUAUUUCUAAACUGUAUUAACAAUUAAAUUUGACCAUUCUAAUCGAUCGUCUAUGCUUUCACCAUGUUUUGCAAUUUUCCUCUUAAUAUGUGUUGACCUUAAUUAUGUCAUCAUUAUUAUCUUCUAACACCAUCUAGAAAGACUUAAUAUUCCGUCUCAAAUCUUAUAUCUUCUCUUUCGUGCGACCCCCCACAUCCCUGCACCCCCACAUCGUCUCCCUUUUUGUCCAUGCCCGCUUUAUUUACGUGUGCCUCCCAUUCUUGGUACGCUAGGACGCAACCCACACACCACAAUCGAACCGAUGCCUCCCUCACCCUUCUUACUACCUCCCAAUCUAGGGUUUCCAACCCCCACUACUACAGAACUGAAUAUUACUGACCGGCCAAAUCAUAUCAUCACUGAUGCGCCAACGACCCGUCAGUAGUUCCUGGACGGUGAUGACUGUAUCAUCACAAACGAGCCAGGUGGCCGGUCAAUGAAGAUGACUAGAAGCUGAAUGGUUGGUUGACAAGCCAAAAAGUUGGGGUACACCAGCCGCCAAAAAUGAACUAGGGGGAAACCUUAGCUUUUAAAGAAGUUGAUUGUUUAGAAUACCCCUUUGGUUCAGAUUUCAACUUUUUUAGCCAAAAGUUGGCAGCUCAAAGUGAACAAACACCAGUUAGCAAAAAUGAACUAGGGGAAAUCCAGCUUUUAUAGAAGUGUUGGUACCUUAGAACACCCCAGCCUUUGGUUCAGAUUCUAGCCUUUUUAGCCAAAAGUUGGCGGCUCAAACUAAAACGAACACAAGCUUGUGGUCUCACUAUCAUCACAAGAGCGUGUGGUAUUGUGGUAGAACUCUCCGGUUGAAUUUGUGAUUGUGGUGACCCUUGCGAAAUGUCAAAACAGUCAAAAUUUUGUAUUUGCCACACUGAAAGAGAUCUGAACAAUGUGGAGACAACAGUUUUGCGUACGUGACAACAUAGCUGCCACAAACAAUUGACAAAACUCAGAAAUAGAGGAAAUAAAGAAAUAAAUAUUUCAUUUUAUGGAAACUCAGCAAAUUUCAAUAAUAAGUCUAGUAAAUUUAUUAUCUUUGAGUAUUAAUGAAACAAAUAGAAAUCCAGGAUUACAUUUAGAUAAAACUUAAAAAAACAGAAGGAAAUAAACAAAAAACUCUGAUAUUCUAGAAAACAUUAAAAAUAUGAGGAUAUUAAAAUAAAAAUAGGAGAAAAUUACCACCGCUUUAUCUCAACCAAACGGCUCUGAGGGGGUUCAUUGUGACCUGCCUCCGAGGGAAUGCCAGCCAGUUAACAUAACUGAAACAGAAAGCUUCUAAUUUUCAUCUAUCUCUAUGUUUUUCAUAACAUUUUUUAUUUUUUGCAUAUUUAAAUUCCUGAAAUAUUUUAUAAUGGUUUUUCUCUUCAUAUAUUUCUUGACUGAGUCGAAUUUAUUUUCUCGCCGAGCUGCCAAGGAAUUGGCCAUGUUAGCAUUAAAAUUACUUUCAGUGAAGCAACAUGCUAAAUUGGGACGGUUCUCGUACUACGACUGUGUCAUAUAGAUGUUCAGUACUCCCUGUCUCCCUCUGCCAAAACUUAUAAGUGGCUAUUGUAGUAAAGAAAAUUUGUUUUUUCUAAGUUGUGCAUGGAUUAAAGUUCUAUAAAAUUCUUAAUUUAUUUUCAUGCCGAUAGCAAAACAGCAGUAUGAAGGAGUCAAAAUUAGAUGAUGAUUAUUAUUUCUUAUUUGAAAAUAGAAGUCUUUCUAUUUUUGAUGUGCCUGAGAAACCAUGGGAGGGCCAUUUGAAUUAUUGAUGCUAUUUCUAGGAGACAGGUUCAGUGACUCGCAAUAAGAAAUUCAAUUAUGCUCGUUGGAUCUUGACACAGGUUAUUGUCAAUGCGUCGUUCCGAUAUUAGAGCAUCUCUAGCAGACCCGCAAAAUCCCAAUCCACAUAAGUGUUUUUUGCAGUUCGUGGAAAAGUCCAUAUGCAGGCCGGCACGGGCGAGGUCAGACUCGGAUCCUGCAAAAUGGACCCGUAAAAAAGGAUAUUCGGCAAAUAUGCUCUUUUACGGGUCGGCUACGCGGGGUCUGCUCAGGCACCGCCGCGUUGACCCACAAACCGAAUACACCCAAUUCACGAAUUUGACAUCGGUUCUAACAAAUAAGUUCAAAUUCAAACAAUAGAACACAGUUCACGCGCAAAUAAAAACUUAAGUUUUGUAGGACAAACGCAAAAGAUGGUCUUGCAGAAGUGACGACCACGUCUGGCAUCAUCUUGGUCGAUCUUCACUCCGCGCCAUCGAGUCCAUGGAGUUCAUCGGAACCACCGAAUCCAUCUCCGAUGCUUGUUCCAACUCCCGCACCGAAAUCAUCGACAUUGGUUCCAAACCCCGCUGAGAAAACCUCUUCGGCACUGUAACACACACUAGCCGAUGCAACCAUUCUCUUCUUUAAGAUUUCUCUUCUUGCCAUAUCAUGCCAUUCUUUGGUGAGGUCGUCCAUGUCAUUGCGGUUCAUUGUGAUGAUCUUGUUCUCUUCGGCGAGCAACUUGGACAUGGCUUUGUUUUCAGAGGCACAUGCUCUUCUCUCCUCAAUGGCCGCUUUGCGCCGCCCCUCUUCCUUGAGCAACUGCCAUUUUUUUGCUUCUUCCUUGCCUUCUUCUCGACCAACUCUUUCUUAAUCUCCAACGACUUCAACAACAUCAAAUCAUUUGAUUGCACCAUGGCAUCAAUCUUCUCCCUCAAGCUCGAAGAUUCGUGCUCUCUCUUCAUCUUCUCCUUAGUCUUCUUGUCGACAUCGGGCUUGUUCAAGUUUCUUGGACCAUCAUCAUCCUCAUCUUCAUCCAUGUUAGUAAGUGAACCUCUCUUCGGUGGGGAUUCUUUGUCAAUCAACUUCCACUUCUCGCACUCUUUGAGCAAGUCCCAACAAUGCUCUAGUUUGAAGAAUUUACCUUCCGAAGCUUCCAUGUCUUUGUAUCUAUGUUGGCCAAUUUUGUCCUACACAAUUUGAACAAACUCAAUAUGAUGUGCACAACUUGAACAAAGUCAAAACGAACUCACAUAGUCGGAUUCCACGGUUCCACUUGGAGGUGCAUUGCGUGCUUGCUCCAAGCAAGCUGCCAAACGGCUGCAAAUUGGCUCGAUCACAUCCCAACACCCUUGAAGCGACUGAAAGGUGCAUGGAGUCCUAUUGGGAUAUUUUGCCAUCAUGCGGAAGUAUUGAUCUUCGAUCCUUUGCCAAUACCUCUUGGUGGUUUGAGAAGUUCCCGUGCAUGCAUCAAGAGACCCCGCACUCCAUGCCCUGAUCAAGAUUUGAUCUUCCAAGAUCGUGUAGUUCUUCGAUCUCUGGCUUUUUUCACUUUUUGUUUGCGAUUGCUCAUACGCCCCCUCAUCGAUCUCCUCCACUUCUUCCUCACCACCAUGAUCAUCCACGCCGCCCUCCGUUUCAUUGUAAUCGAAUGCGGCGAACGGGGCUUGAUCGAUGUCGACGGUGUUGGUAUCCAACAAGCUCACGAACUCGGUAGUUGCAUUGUUCGAACCACCGCUAUAGUGAACGACAACAAGUCACGAGCUAUUGCAAAUGGCGAAAAGCAAAGGAAAUUGCCAUGACCAAAGACGCAUACCUACCGGCCAUUUCGUCAAACACCUCGCCUGCGGUGGGAGCAGCACCGUUGAGCGGCAUCGCCGGGGAACCUCUUUCCGGGGCGGAGGGAGUGGAUGAAGGAGGCGGCUUCUUUGUAGCCGGAAUCCUCUUCCUCUUUACGCCGGUGGCCUUCGCGACCUUCUCCGCCGCCGGCCGGGAUCGCGCAGCGGCGUUGGCGCCCGGAGCGCGGGCCUUCGCGGCGGGGGCAGGCGGAUUCCCGCCCUGCACGACCACGUUGCCCUGCCGCUUGCGGGCAGGCGCGAGGUACCUUGGGCGACGGCCGGGCCAACAUGGCCGGCGACGAGAUCCGCCCGAGGGGAUUGAGCGUGCGCGACCUCGACGGUGACGAGGGACAUCACGGAGUCAUCCAUGGCGGCGAAGGACUGCCGAGGAAGAUGCACCGGAGCGGGAGGUGACGGGGCAAUGGUGACGGAAGGUGGGGGGAGCGGGAACGGCCGCUCGGAAAUGUCCCUCCCGCCAAAUCUCGCUGCGGAUAGGGGCCGAGCUCGGAUCGUCCUCCCAGCCUGUGAAUCUAGAGGUCGUGGGAGAUCUUUUGCCGCGCCCCGCAAAAAAAUUUAAGGGUCGGCUGCGAAUACGGUGUCUGAUCGGACAGGUUUUUCCGCCCCAACCCGUAUUUUGACGGUUAUUUUGCGGGUCGAGACGGUACGUGGGGUCUGCUAGAGAUGCUCUUAUCUCUGCGGACUUGCGUCGAUCCGAAACUGUCGCAAUGGACAAAGCCGCUACUUCUUCCGCCGGGAAUAAACAAAACGACGUGAGGUGAGCAGCCCACUGCACCGGAAUGACAGCGAGAGGUGAGCAAACUGAUUCUGAAUUCUGAAAGCACCCGGUAUCCUGGAAAACCAACGUCCGCUGCCGCCUGUUUUCCUCUGGCCCUCACGUGUAUAUAACACCAUCGGCUCCCACUCUUCUUCUCAUCAACACAAACAAGUAUCGAUCAGCUUGCUUCACCACCACAAAAUCCACACUCCACUGCUAUCAAGCUUCAAGCAUCAGAGAGUUCAGGCAGACCAUUGAGCGGCAUCAUCUCCUCCAACGCGGCGAGAAGAACAGAGUUGCAGAGAGAUCAUGGCGGGUGCGGCGAAGGCGUCAUGGAUGGUUGCGAUGAGCGUGGGCGCCGUGGAGGCGCUCAAGGAUCAGGCCGGGCUCUGCCGCUGGAACUACGCGCUCCGGUCCAUCCACCGGACUGCCAAGGCCAGGGCCAACGUCCGUGGCGGCGUCUCGCAGGGCGCAAGGCAGCUUCCGGCUUCCGCAGCGGUGGCGGAGAAGCGACGAGCAGAGAAGACCGAAGAGGGGCUGAGGACCGUGAUGUACCUCAGCUGCUGGGGUCCCAAUUAGUACUACUAGCUACCAAGAGGUGUUUUCUCCUAGCUCCAGCAUCUGUUAGAAACUUCUAGCAACAACCACGCCGUGUGACUUGGCUGGUUAAUUCCCUGCCGAUUAUAAAUACGUAUCACGAUGAUGAUGAUGAAACCUUUCCCCACUUCGAGUUCACAUUAUCCUUCUUCAGAAAGGUUUGAAUUGCCUUUCAAACUGAUCUGUUUGUUUCAAAUUCUUUGGGAAGAUUGUUGUUUCGAGUUGGGCGCAAGCUUUGCCUGUUGCUCUGUUCGAUGGGCAGAGCAUUGAUCCUGCUCCAUUUUCCGCCAGCUUGUGCAGAUGAUAAUCAAAACCUUCUUCUUUUUUUGCGAAUUAGUGUUGUAGGUUCAGUUUUAUAAACAUAUGAAUAUGAUACUACCUCCGUCUCGGUGAAUAAGUCAUUCGCGUAGUUCUAGGUCGAUGAUUUAACUAUCUAAAUAUGGAUUAUGUGUAUAAAAAAUAUAUAUUUAGAAAUUACAUCCGUGUAGAAAUCUAGUGAUAUACUUUUCAUAACAUAUAACUCAUAUUUAAUUGCUCAAAUCAAUGACCUAGAACUACGUAAAUAACUUAUUCAUCUAGACGGAGGUAGUAGUACAGUAUGCAUCUUUCCACUAUUUGUGCAACCUCACAUGCGUCUUCUUUGUUGUGUUCGUCCAUCAGACGUACGCGGGACUGUUACUACCAAACAAGCGCUGAAAGUGGAAACCAUGUGUUGCUCCUCUGGUUCCCCCUCCCCCCGGCCAGCUCUCAUACUCGUACGUGUUCUCACUGUCACAUGUCCACAACAUGAGCCUGAAGCCCUGAGGUGAUAAAGUUUCUCCAGUUAAGUCGGUGAAGAAACUUACAAUAUUUGGCUACUGCACUGAAAAUGUGAUUGCUUGCUAUAGGACCAGCGCAUCAGACCAGCCGAUGAAGACAAGUGUAGAUCGGAAGGAUUCAACUUGCAGACACACAGACCUAGACGAACGAAGAUCGGAUCCAUCGAAGACAAACGCCGACCGUAUCCCAUGAAAUCCGUUGGAAACACACGUCCACACGCCCUCCGACGAGCUUGAAGCAUCAACCGGGCGUGGGCUAGGCAGGGAGAACCUUAUUUCAUCUAAAAAAAGCAGUCGCCGCCUCAUCUUCUUGAGCAUGGCACAAAUCCUAACAAAACUCUGAAAAGCAUGUAAAAAUGGAGCCCUCCCGCCGGCAAGGGCCGGUAUCCACCGCGCCUCCAUGGUCCAAGGACCAUAGAAGACGAGGCGGACCGGUGGCGGCGCCAGCGAGAGGUAGGGAAACCCUAGACGGGAGUUCGCACAAGAGCGGGAGCGAAGAAUUUUUUUUUGUACAAUUAACAUUCUUGGCUUUACAUGUCACCAGUGGUUAUACCUUUUUAUUAAUUUGCAGGGGCAUGUAUUAUAUAUUUUUUGUAUAUUUUAAUAAAUAUAUAUUUUUCUCCAUCAGUUGUCAAAGUAUAAAACUACAAUGUGGAAAUUUUUUGGACUCCCAGGUCUCCCAAGUGUCAAACGUCUAGAUUUGCAUCUUGACACAUUUAUAGUUGUCUUACCAUAAAGUUGACGCGAUGAUUUUGAAUAUACCGAAUUCAUGUUAUUCCUUCGGGGGAAAAAUGAUUCUCCAACUAUUGUCAAAUCUUAAAUUUGGCUCCAAACAUCAAAAAAAUUCUUUGCCAAUCAAGUAUCAAAAACAUCUAGACUUGGUAUUUUGCCCCAUUGAAAGUGGUUUUGCAUACAUGGUAGCAUAAUCACCACAAUGAUUUUUUUUACAUCACAUGGGAAAGAUGAGAAAAUAGAACAAUAAAAAAUUCAGACAUUUGCUAAACAAUAUAUGUUUAUUUUAGGAAUUUUUUGUCUAUACAAAAAAAAGCAUGGAAAUGAAGAGGUACAGAAAAAAUUGGUCAAAAUGAACGAAUUUGCGAAAAACCUUUUAUAUUUGAAGAUGUAUUAAAACUAAGAGAAUUUCAAAUUUGAAGAAUUAAAUCGAGGAAAUUAAAUCUUUUGAGUUUUAUCAGAUUACAUGGUUUCCUGAAUAUAGUAUAUGAUAAUUAUCCAAUUUCAAAACUCCUGAAAUCUUACCUGAUUCUUUAUGUUUUUCCUAAAAAAUAAUGUGUUAAUUUCCCCAUUUUAUUUGUGUUCUGCCAAUUUUAUUUGCACACUUAGUUACGACAUGUGCAAAACCCCCUCUAUGGCAACUAAAAUAAAUUGCUUUCCAUGAAGCAGUAACUUCGACAAUUCUACCCGCAAAAAAAAAAAACUUCGACAAUCCUGACAUUUUUUAGCCUACGAACAAUAGUCCUACAGUAUUCUAAGACAACUAAUGUUACUACUCGCAAGUGGCAAUAACAUUUGAAUCUGCUUACUGAAUAUUUACACACAUCACCUAUCCUUUAUUCAUAUCUUAUCUCUGUCGGCUUGUUCCAAUCCCAGACUCUAUCGCAAUGGCCAAAACCACCACUUCCACAGAGAAUAAACAAACGACACGGCAACGAUGGUUGCGGCGUGAAGAAGCAGAGUAGCAGCAGAGUGAUGACUCCAGAAGCACCCGGUUUCGUGGGAAAACCAACGUCCGCGACCACUGUUUUGCUCCAGACCUCCCGUAUAUAACCACGUCCCAGCCCCUCUCCCCCUCUCAUCAACACAAGCAUCUACACUCACAAAGUCCGCGCUCUGCACUCUACACUCGACAACUAGCUACUCUACUACUCUUCAGUCAUCACCUACUUCAGACCACCAACACACAGAGAGAUCAUGGCGGGUGCGGCGAAGGCGUCUUGGAUGGUGGCGAUGAGUGUGGGCGCCGUGGAGGCCCUCAAGGACCAGGUCGGCCUCUGCCGCUGGAACUACGCCCUCAAAUCCAUCCACCGGGCAGCCAACGUCCGCGGCGGCGUCUUGCAGGGCGCCAAGCAGCUUCCGGCCUCUGCUGAGGCGGCGGCCGAGAAGCGGCGAGGGGAGAAGGCCGAGGAAGGGCUGAGGACGGUGAUGUACCUCAGCUGCUGGGGUCCCAAUUAGAAGCUGCAACUUGGUACUAGCUAGGCGUGUGUGUGUUUGCUGCAACAACCAUGGCCUGGAACCACGAUGUAAAAACUUGGUACUAGCUGGCUUCCCGAGGAAUCCCCCAUUGUAAAAACCCCGAUGAUGAUGAUGACAAAUUUCUGUUACUUCAGUUCAUAUCACUCUCCUUAUCUGUUUGCCUUUUUGUUAUCUUGAUGAGAAAUAUGAAUAGAUGCUUUACUUUAGUUUCAGCUAUUCCCUUGUCUUUGAACCCGGCCUUUUGGUCGUAUGUCAUUACAACUUACAAGGACUUCAUUUUUUUACCUGAGUUCAUAGCAAACAUGCUGUAUCUCUUCAGUC
RNAcentral lists this long non-coding RNA (37942 nucleotides) under Triticum aestivum (bread wheat). RNAcentral's name for it is "long non-coding RNA (TAES_LNC024809)". Lineage: Eukaryota; Viridiplantae; Streptophyta; Magnoliopsida; Poales; Poaceae. The record is from RNAcentral.